AAAUUGAAGAGUUUGAUCAUGGCUCAGAUUGAACGCUGGCGGCAGGCCUAACACAUGCAAGUCGAACGGUAACAGGAAGCAGCUUGCUGCUUUGCUGACGAGUGGCGGACGGGUGAGUAAUGUCUGGGAAACUGCCUGAUGGAGGGGGAUAACUAGUGGAAACGGUAGCUAAUACCGCAUAACGUCGCAAGACCAAAGAGGGGGACCUUCGGGCCUCUUGCCAUCGGAUGUGCCCAGAUGGGAUUAGCUAGUAGGUGGGGUAA
Molecule: ribosomal RNA, 263 nt
Filed under: Escherichia coli
Lineage: Bacteria; Pseudomonadati; Pseudomonadota; Gammaproteobacteria; Enterobacterales; Enterobacteriaceae
Description: partial 16S ribosomal RNA
Rfam family: Bacterial small subunit ribosomal RNA
Source: RNAcentral